Rosa rugosa (rugosa rose) is the source of this 1228-nucleotide long non-coding RNA. RefSeq lists it as uncharacterized. NCBI's taxonomy places the organism in Eukaryota, Viridiplantae, Streptophyta, Magnoliopsida, Rosales, Rosaceae. The transcript has 4 exons. The record is from RefSeq and is a predicted model, not a curated record.
UGUAUUCAAUCAGGAGUCUAUUGGAUUGUUUUGUAUUUUAAAAGUCCUUUAAAUUCUUGUGGUAUUCAAUUAAGAUUUUAAAAAAUCCUUUAAAAUCUUGUGGUAUUCAAUUAAAAUUUUUAAAAGUCAUUCCAAAUCUAGUGGUAUUCAAAAACCAAACGAUUUUCAAGGAUUUUAUUAAAUGAUUGAUUCUGUAGGAUUUUAGGGUGCUUGGUAUAAAUACCAAACCCUAUCAGAAAUCCAGCCUCUAGAGCUGAGAUUUUGACGUUUUUUUUCUUCUCUCGCUCAGAAGAUGAAAAGGCCUCAAAUAGAAGAUGAAACUGACCUCAACCUUUCUUUAUUAUCUACUAACGAAGGCUCUCAUCUUUGUAUAGUUAAAAUUCUCUAUUCAUUUUUUAUUUGAUGAGAUAUAUGGAGAUAACAAAGAAGAAGUAUUAGAGGUGGAGAAGCUAAUCUGGAGGUAUUGAAAGAUAAAAAGUUGAAGGGUUAACUAGCUGUUAGAGAAGAAUUGCAUCUGAAAAUUGCCAAGCUGCUGCCAACGCUGAGAAGAUCUCGGUCCGUACAGGUUGGAUUUCACGCCAAGUGGUCGAUGGUUGGUGGACACAAGGGUCAUCUAGCUAUUGUAGACAUGAAGCAAAUGAGCCUGAUUAAAGAAUCUCAGGUCCUGCAUGUGAUGUGGUAUUCUUGCAUGAUGAGACAAUGUUUGCUGCAGCCCAGAAAAAGUAUAGAACCGUGUGCUGUGGCACAACAGCUUCCCUCAUGUUUUCUUCAGGAUCCUGCUUUGCUAUGGCCAUGUUAAGUUACUUUAUCUAUGGCAUUUAGUGUAUUAACUUGGUAAUGAACCGGGAAAUCAGACUCUUCUCCUCACCACGUAAAUCUGUUCAUGGUUCUAAUCUCCAAGCAAUAUCCUCCCUUUCAAACUGAACAGCUAUAGCAAGAAUGUGGUUUGCCUUAUAUAAACUCAACAUGUACCUGUACUAUUUAUUGUGAACUAUUUCUAGUCAUCUGCCAUUAUAAUAUGAACAAGUAUUUUCAAUUGAAGUAUGCUCAUUCAGCAGACCAGAAUACCAUGUUCAUGUGUUGCCUGCACGAGCUAGGUUCUUUUUUUUUUUUUUUUUUUUUUUUUUUUUGUGUUGUAAAGAUCGGUAGCACUGAAUAAUGUCUCAAGAUCUUGUGCUUACUGGUGGAAACUGUUGUAAUUCAAUACCCAGUGAUUUAUAUGAAAUUC